GGCUUUCUUCGCGGCGGAGCUCGACCGCCCCUUGAAGUGAUCGUCGCGUUCGUCGACGAGAACCGUGCUGAGUUCGGAGUCGAGUUCAUCUGCAGGCACCUGCAGGUGGCUCCG
The sequence is a regulatory RNA element, 114 nucleotides long. It matches the Rfam family "ALIL pseudoknot". The record is from Rfam.